UGCUCUGUGGAUCAGUGGCGAACGGGUGAGUAACACGUGAGCAACCUGCCCCUGACUCUGGGAUAAGCGCUGGAAACGGCGUCUAAUACCGGAUAUGAGCUGCGAUCGCAUGGUCAGCAGUUGGAAAGAUUUUUCGGUCUGGGAUGGGCUCACGGCCUAUCAGCUUGUUGGUGAGGUAAUGGCUCACCAAGGCGUCGACGGGUAGCCGGCCUGAGAGGGUGACCGGCCACACUGGGACUGAGACACGGCCCAGACUCCUACGGGAGGCAGCAGUGGGGAAUAUUGCACAAUGGGCGAAAGCCUGAUGCAGCAACGCCGCGUGAGGGAUGACGGCCUUCGGGUUGUAAACCUCUUUUAGCAGGGAAGAAGCGAAAGUGACGGUACCUGCAGAAAAAGCGCCGGCUAACUACGUGCCAGCAGCCGCGGUAAUACGUAGGGCGCAAGCGUUAUCCGGAAUUAUUGGGCGUAAAGAGCUCGUAGGCGGUUUGUCGCGUCUGCUGUGAAAUCCCGAGGCUCAACCUCGGGUCUGCAGUGGGUACGGGCAGACUAGAGUGCGGUAGGGGAGAUUGGAAUUCCUGGUGUAGCGGUGGAAUGCGCAGAUAUCAGGAGGAACACCGAUGGCGAAGGCAGAUCUCUGGGCCGUUACUGACGCUGAAGGAGCGAAAGGGGUGGGGAGCAAACAGGCUUAGAUACCCUGGUAGUCCACCCCGUAAACGUUGGGAACUAGUUGUGGGGUCCAUUCCACGGAUUCCGUGACGCAGCUAACGCAUUAAGUUCCCCGCCUGGGGAGUACGGCCGCAAGGCUAAAACUCAAAGGAAUUGACGGGGACCCCGCACAAGC
Molecule: ribosomal RNA, 841 nt
Filed under: Microbacterium oleivorans
Lineage: Bacteria; Bacillati; Actinomycetota; Actinomycetes; Micrococcales; Microbacteriaceae
Description: bacterial SSU rRNA
Rfam family: Bacterial small subunit ribosomal RNA
Source: RNAcentral